CCGCUGAACUUAAGCAUAUCAAUAAGCGGAGGAAAAGAAACCAACAGGGAUUGCCCUAGUAACGGCGAGUGAAGCGGCAACAGCUCAAAUUUGAAAUCUGGCGCAAGCCCGAGUUGUAAUUUGUAGAGGAUGCGUCUGGGCAGCGGCCGGUCUAAGUUCCUUGGAACAGGACGUCACAGAGGGUGAGAAUCCCGUAUGUGAUCGGUUGGCACCCGCUACGUAGCUCCUUCGACGAGUCGAGUUGUUUGGGAAUGCAGCUCUAAAUGGGAGGUAAAUGCCUUCUAAAGCUAAAUACCGGCCAGAGACCGAUAGCGCACAAGUAGAGUGAUCGAAAGAUGAAAAGCACUUUGGAAAGAGAGUUAAAAAGCACGUGAAAUUGUUGAAAGGGAAGCGCAUGCAACCAGACUUGUCCGCGGUGUUCCGCCGGUCUUCUGACCGGUCUACUCGCCGCGGGCAGGCCAGCAUCAUCUGGGAGCGCCGGAUAAAGGUAGCGGGAAUGUGGCCCCUCGGGGUGUUAUAGCUCGCUACACAAUACGGCGCCUCCCGGGUGAGGUCCGCGCUUCGGCUAGGAUGCUGGCGUAAUGGUUGUAUGCGGCCCGUCUUGAAACACGGACCAAGGAGUCUACCAUCUAUGCGAGUGUUCGGGUGUCAAACCCCUACGCGCAAUGAAAGUGAACGGAGGUGGGAACCGCAAGGUGCACCAUCGACCGAUCCUGAUGUCUUCGGAUGGAUUUGAGUAAGAGCAUAGCUGGUGGGACCCGAAAGAUGGUGAACUAUGCCUGAAUAGGGUGAAGCCAGAGGAAACUCUGGUGGAGGCUCGCAGCGGUUCUGACGUGCAAAUCGAUCGUCAAAUUUGGGUAUAGGGGCGAAAGACUAAUCGAACCAUCUAGUAGCUGGUUCCUGCC
RNAcentral lists this ribosomal RNA (905 nucleotides) under Neocatenulostroma germanicum. RNAcentral's name for it is "eukaryotic LSU rRNA". It matches the Rfam family "Eukaryotic large subunit ribosomal RNA", at positions 25 to 962 of the family's 3401-position model. Lineage: Eukaryota; Fungi; Ascomycota; Dothideomycetes; Mycosphaerellales; Teratosphaeriaceae. The record is from RNAcentral.